This 758-nucleotide ribosomal RNA is filed under the name uncultured bacterium. Its description in RNAcentral is "bacterial SSU rRNA". It matches the Rfam family "Bacterial small subunit ribosomal RNA", at positions 28 to 776 of the family's 1533-position model. The record is from RNAcentral.
GAUGAACGCUAGCUACAGGCUUAACACAUGCAAGUCGAGGGGCAUCAGGAAGAAAGCUUGCUUUCUUUGCUGGCGACCGGCGCACGGGUGAGUAACACGUAUCCAACCUGCCCUUUACUCGGGGAUAGCCUUUCGAAAGAAAGAUUAAUACCCGAUAGCAUAAUGAUUCCGCAUGGUUUCAUUAUUAAAGGAUUCCGGUAAAGGAUGGGGAUGCGUUCCAUUAGGUUGUUGGUGAGGUAACGGCUCACCAAGCCUUCGAUGGAUAGGGGUUCUGAGAGGAAGGUCCCCCACAUUGGAACUGAGGCACGGUCCAAACUCCUACGGGAGGCAGCAGUGAGGAAUAUUGGUCAAUGGGCGCUAGCCUGAACCAGCCAAGUAGCGUGAAGGAUGAAGGCUCUAUGGGUCGUAAACUUCUUUUAUAUAAGAAUAAAGUGCAGUAUGUAUACUGUUUUGUAUGUAUUAUAUGAAUAAGGAUCGGCUAACUCCGUGCCAGCAGCCGCGGUAAUACGGAGGAUCCGAGCGUUAUCCGGAUUUAUUGGGUUUAAAGGGAGCGUAGGUGGACUGGUAAGUCAGUUGUGAAAGUUUGCGGCUCAACCGUAAAAUUGCAGUUGAUACUGUCAGUCUUGAGUACAGUAGAGGUGGGCGGAAUUCGUGGUGUAGCGGUGAAAUGCUUAGAUAUCACGAAGAACUCCGAUUGCGAAGGCAGCUCACUGGACUGCAACUGACACUGAUGCUCGAAAGUGUGGGUAUCAAACAGG